CCUUUGAAGCAAUUAGUCAUCAUGGGAUGUAAUGAAAUGAAUCGUCUUUUGGAGGCUAUUCAUUAAUUCCUCCCUGCCUGUCUCUGUGAUACCUGCACCAUCCAUGCAUACCAAAGUCCCAGCAAUGACGACAUUCAUGAAUAGAAAACUGGAAUAUAUUUCACCGUGGGAAAAAUGUUCUUAUUGAUUCAGGAUCAAAAUGGAGAAGCAAGUACAGGAUGAUGAUCUUAAUGAGCUCUUUUAGAGUCAAAGAAAGAGGUCCACGAAGAGGAUUUACCCUUUCCUUCCUGCCUUGGCAUAUUUUCGUGUGAGGACGGGAUGCUUGGAACUGUGGCAGCCACCUUGUGACCAAGAGGGGAAAAUACAGAGACAGCAGAGAAGCUGACGCAACGCAGAGCCUCAAUAC
This is a long non-coding RNA of Piliocolobus tephrosceles (Ugandan red Colobus), 406 nucleotides long. NCBI's taxonomy places the organism in Eukaryota, Metazoa, Chordata, Mammalia, Primates, Cercopithecidae. The record is from Ensembl.